UUCCUGGAGAGUCCAGGAUGUGGACUUGAAACUCUGAGAUUGAGUUGCUGUGGUUUGUCAAAGAUCAGCUGUGAUUAUCUGGCAGCAGCACUGAAGUCCAACCCCUCCCAUCUGAGAGAGCUGAACCUGAGGGACAACAACCUGAAGGAUCCAGAUGUGAAGCAGCUGUCUGAUCUUAAGCAGAGUCCAGACUACAGACUGGAGACUCUGGAGUGGAGGUGAUGAUGGUAAA
This is a long non-coding RNA of Oreochromis niloticus (Nile tilapia), 232 nucleotides long. RefSeq lists it as uncharacterized. Lineage: Eukaryota; Metazoa; Chordata; Actinopteri; Cichliformes; Cichlidae. The transcript is spliced from 3 exons. The record is from RefSeq and is a predicted model, not a curated record.